Molecule: non-coding RNA, 311 nt
Organism: Paramuricea clavata
Lineage: Eukaryota; Metazoa; Cnidaria; Anthozoa; Malacalcyonacea; Plexauridae
Source: the annotation of a GenBank genome assembly
CACUUUUUUAAUGCGCAUGCGCGACCCUCUGGCAAGUGUCAUGCACAUUUUUUAUCAGGAAAAAGAUAGGGAAAUGCAAAAUUUUGGCAGUAAAACGGCGAUUUUAAGCGCAGUGACCGAUCCAUCUUCAUUUUCUGCACGAAUUUUGCAAAUAAAUGGCACACUGCGUCUUCUUAGCGAAAGGGAAUUGAACGAAUACCAUUUUUAACGGCGAAAAUGAGAAAAGACACCCGAAGGAGUGAGAAUUUCUGGCAAUCUGAAGAUUCGAUUCUGUAGACCUGAACUCCAGCUGGAACUUAGCAACUUUAUAU